UGUGUUAAUAAAAGUAAAUAUUAGCAAAUAUGAAACACUUAGUAUUAAAACUGGGAUCUAAAUAAGGAGACUAUAAGGCAUAAAUAUUUCCCCAGUGUAAACUAGGCCAAGAUAAAGUAUUUACUGUUAAUUAAUACAAAUUUAUUUGUCCAUAAAUACAAGGUGACAUUUUUCUGCUGAAACGUUUCCAUUGGAAAUUAACCCUUUCACUGUUAUUGAGGGGAUAAUUGUUCCAAGUGGGAAAUUCUUCUCUACAUCAUACCGUAUUUUAUGUAGGCCACACUGUAAGGCCAGAUUAAAUUUCUGUAUUCCUGUUUAAAUUCGCCAAUAAGGUGGCGUGUACAAUCGCACUUGUAUGACAUCACAUAGAGCCAAUGAGAUUUCUGCUUUCUACGAUGCUAGAACAGAUAGCGGCAGUUGGUCGCAAUUGUAAGUUUGGAGAAGCAUUCUUGCUAGUUUGUGGCAAAUAACACGGCAUAAUUAAGAUUUAUUUUUGUCAUAAGUCUCAAAUUAUAUAUACUACAAUGACAGGCAUUGUUACAUCAGUAGACAACAUUGUUCCAUUUAAGUACCUAGUUGCCACAGACAGAGCAUGAUAAUACAAUGGCCUUCCAACUAAGAAUUUGAAAUUGCCAGAUUUAUCUACAGAGACAUCAUUGGAGAGAGAGUGGAGAACAUCCCUAAUCUUGUCAGAUAUAAGAUAUUGUGAUGUGGCACUAAAUGGGCAUAUGGCUCGCACUGGAGGGGUGGGCCCCCCUACUCCUCUCCUUGACUAGUGGAUGUGGGAUAUGGGUGUGGUCAUCACAGAAUGUCCCAGGAUGUAGUGUUCCCUCGACAAAAGGAAGGUUCAGGAAAGGGAACAUAGGAGUUCCUUAGCCUGGAAAGUUCGAAGAAGAGACUCGAGUGCUGGUGGUCUGGCGUGGGUCCACCGUGGCCCAGUGUGGAACAGGAAAUUGAACAGUAGCAGACAGUGGACAGUGAGGGAUCUAGCGAGAUAGUGAGCUAGUGAGUGCGAGAAGACAUCGAUCAGUCCAGUGUGGUGCUGAGAGCUGAGGGCUGCGUUGUGAAGAGUUUCAAGUUUGGAGACCGGAACAGCUCAACAGACAGUAUUCGGGGAGUUUGUGUCACGUACUUGAAGAGUUAGUCUUAGCAACGGUUUUGUCCAAUUUUCCUGUGUGUAGACUACCAUAACUUGAUUGUUAAGUAAAUCACGGUUCACCUAGAGCCUAAGUAGUAGUCGUUGUCAUCAUCACAAUAUUUUUCUGCUUAAAGUUUCUGAAUAAAUGUCAUCUCAUGCAUGUGUGCAGUGUGUAAGAGUAUGUUUCAGGAUCGUUCAUUUCUUGACUGUUAAGACAUAUUUGGAACAGAAAUUAUAUUUUGCUAUUUGAUUGCUUUGUUCAGUAACAUACACUAGAUUUUACUUGUUUAUAAAUAUUUGAAAUAUGUAGUUAUUACUGUACAUAAGUUAUUGUAAAACUGAAGAGAUGGAACACAGGUCUUUUCCAGAAAAAUUAUGAGAUUUAAACUGGCCUCUAGAUACGUCAACUAAAUAAUCAUCCAACGUACCCAUCCAAACCUUAAAAGAAACUAUACAGACAAACAGUGAGAUUCACACAUUUUUGAAAAGACCUGGGAACAUGUGGGGAUCAAAACAAUGAUCUCACUCUCACAUCUUUAUCAUCUAGCAGCCAAGGUCAGUCUGCAGUUGCUUUUUAUUUGUGGUGUUAGGGUAUUUGUUUACUUGUCAUCCAGAUUUUCAAGGCAGUAAGCACAUCUAAAAUUUCAGCCAGUCUAUUGCAGACUACAGGGUGCUACAUCUCUGAAGACGGUCAAUUUCAUAUUAGCUGUUUUGAGAAUGUAAGAUCUCACCAUUUGUUGCCCUGGUCCAGCUUCACUAAUCAAAAAACUCUCUUUUAAGGUCACUUUCUAUUAUGUAGUCCUUUGAUUUAUGGUUUAUGUAACAACAGUCAAUUGCUCAGGCUUUAUAGUGUCAAGUGAUAUGAUAAUUAAUAAUAAAUUACAAACGAAAUGGAACAAACCGGUCAUAGCGUGAUUGAAUGUUCUAACUUGGAAUUUGUUUUGUUGGAGUAAGAACCUAUUUGCUUAAUAUUGGCAAAAUGAAAAUUUUUUCAGAGGCAAAGAAGAAAGGGAUAAAAAGUAGAUAAAUACAGGUGAUUGUACCUCAUAGAAACAAUGAUAAAAUGGGCAACGACAGUCAGUACCAGAAUGGGAGUCCAUUGUUUUUACCAUUAAGAUAUGAAUACAACAGUAUGGAACAAUGUUUAUAUUCCAUAGAUCUUUCACAGCACAAGCCAAGGAUGUGGAAUACAUCUUAAUAUUAAUACCAACACUUUGUACAAAUAUGACUGCAUAGUUGGAGCAACCAUUUACUAUGUAUCAUAAGUUUCAACUGAAAUAAAUUCUAGUGUGGAAGGAGUGACAAAAAAUAGAAUCUUAC
Molecule: non-coding RNA, 2458 nt
Organism: Zootermopsis nevadensis
Lineage: Eukaryota; Metazoa; Arthropoda; Insecta; Blattodea; Termopsidae
Source: RefSeq, a predicted model, not a curated record